Molecule: ribosomal RNA, 468 nt
Filed under: uncultured bacterium
Lineage: Bacteria
Description: partial 16S ribosomal RNA
Rfam family: Bacterial small subunit ribosomal RNA
Source: RNAcentral
GACGAACGCUGGCGGCGUGCUUAACACAUGCAAGUCGAACGGAAAGGCCCUGCUUUUGUGGGGUGCUCGAGUGGCGAACGGGUGAGUAACACGUGAGUAACCUGCCCUUGACUUUGGGAUAACUUCAGGAAACUGGGGCUAAUACCGGAUAGGAGCUCCUGCUGCAUGGUGGGGGUUGGAAAGUUUCGGCGGUUGGGGAUGGACUCGCGGCUUAUCAGCUUGUUGGUGGGGUAGUGGCUUACCAAGGCUUUGACGGGUAGCCGGCCUGAGAGGGUGACCGGCCACAUUGGGACUGAGAUACGGCCCAGACUCCUACGGGAGGCAGCAGUGGGGAAUAUUGCACAAUGGGCGGAAGCCUGAUGCGGCAACGCCGCGUGCGGGAUGACGGCCUUCGGGUUGUAAACCGCUUUCGCCUGUGACGAAGCGUGAGUGACGGUAAUGGGUAAUGAAGCACCGGCUAACUACGUG